GUUUCUUACUCCACAUGAAGAAAUUUCUUGUACAAAAAAGGGAGGGAUGCCCAAGGCAAAAUAAACAAGAUAUUUCUCUUUGAUACAUUUAGCCACUUAAGUGACUUGUGUUUCUGUAUUUAGAUUGCCUAAAAAAGUAUCCUGUCUUUGGCUGUUUUUCCAUCACAAAACUUGGCAUAGUCGGCAGGAACACACAAGCAUUGGGACCAGGAGCUAAAUAGAAAACUUCCAGGGAAUUGCAGAGGUCAGGGUCCCUGCAGUUUCUUUAAGCAAGGUUUGAGGAAACCUGCUCAGCACUGACUUCAUAGGAGUCUGGUAAGGAAUACGAUGUACUCUAGAGAGCGACGGUUUGGGAAGAUCCUUGGUAAGUUAUUCU
This is a long non-coding RNA of Brienomyrus brachyistius, 376 nucleotides long. RefSeq lists it as uncharacterized. The record is from RefSeq and is a predicted model, not a curated record. NCBI's taxonomy places the organism in Eukaryota, Metazoa, Chordata, Actinopteri, Osteoglossiformes, Mormyridae. The transcript has 3 exons.